This 251-nucleotide ribosomal RNA is filed under the name uncultured archaeon. RNAcentral describes it as "partial 16S ribosomal RNA". It matches the Rfam family "Archaeal small subunit ribosomal RNA", at positions 331 to 582 of the family's 1478-position model. The record is from RNAcentral.
CGCAGCAGGCGCGAAAACUUUACAAUGCGGGAAACCGUGAUAAGGGGACACCGAGUGUCAGCAUCAUAUGCUGGCUGUCCAGGUGUGUAAAAUACACCUGUUAGCAAGGGCCGGGCAAGACCGGUGCCAGCCGCCGCGGUAACACCGGCGGCCCGAGUGGUGAUCGUGAUUAUUGGGUCUAAAGGGUCCGUAGCCGGUUUGGUCAGUCCUCCGGGAAAUCUGAUAGCUCAACUAUUAGGCUAUCGGGGGAU